AAUGAACGCUGGCGGCGCGCCUAAUACAUGCAAGUCGAGCGAGAAGACGUAGCAAUACGUUUGUAAAGCGGCGAACGGGUGAGGAAUACAUGGGUAACCUACCCUCGAGUGGGGAAUAACUAGCCGAAAGGUUAGCUAAUACCGCGUACGCUCCUUGGACUUCGGUUCAGGGAGGAAAGCGAUACCGUGGGUAUCGCGCUCUUGGUUGGGCUCAUGUCCUAUCAGCUUGUUGGUGAGGUAACGGCUCACCAAGGCUUCGACGGGUAGCUGGUCUGAGAGGACGAUCAGCCACACUGGCACUGCGACACGGGCCAGACUCCUACGGGAGGCAGCAGUAAGGAAUAUUGCGCAAUGGGCGAAAGCCUGACGCAGCGACGCCGCGUGGGGGAUGAAAGUC
Molecule: ribosomal RNA, 397 nt
Filed under: uncultured bacterium
Lineage: Bacteria
Description: bacterial SSU rRNA
Rfam family: Bacterial small subunit ribosomal RNA
Source: RNAcentral